GCCUCUAUAGCUCAACGGAUAGAGCAGGCCCGUCCUAAGGGCAAGAUGAGGGUUCAAUUCCUUCUAGAGGCACCA
RNAcentral lists this transfer RNA (75 nucleotides) under Candidatus Gottesmanbacteria bacterium. Its description in RNAcentral is "tRNA-Arg". It matches the Rfam family "tRNA". Rfam says of the family: Transfer RNA (tRNA) molecules are approximately 80 nucleotides in length. Lineage: Bacteria; Candidatus Gottesmaniibacteriota. The record is from RNAcentral.